CGUACGGCACAUGGUUUUGUCAUUCAGCGGAGCGCAUGGGCGAUGGAUUCAACCACUGACACUACUCCCUGUUAGCUAAUCGAUUUCAUCGCCAACUUGAUCAUUAUAACCAACAAGAACACCAACAAUGUUUCGACUCUGUCUUUCCACUCCCUGCUUCUUUCGCUCGAUUCUCUGCCUUCCACAGAAGCCCUGCAACGCAUUUUACGCUAUGAGGAACCAUACGGCGUCGUUCUCUUCUUCUUCUUCUUCUU
RNAcentral lists this unclassified non-coding RNA (254 nucleotides) under Hevea brasiliensis (rubber tree). The record is from RNAcentral. Lineage: Eukaryota; Viridiplantae; Streptophyta; Magnoliopsida; Malpighiales; Euphorbiaceae.